Molecule: transfer RNA, 64 nt
Filed under: Loxodonta africana (African savanna elephant)
Lineage: Eukaryota; Metazoa; Chordata; Mammalia; Proboscidea; Elephantidae
Rfam family: tRNA
About the family: Transfer RNA (tRNA) molecules are approximately 80 nucleotides in length.
Source: Rfam by way of RNAcentral
GGUGGCUCAGUGGUUAAGCAUUGGGCUGCUAACCAAAAAGUCGGUGGUUUGAAUCCACCAACCA